AUGAUUUUUUUGGACCAUGAAAUUUGGUCGUACCCUAACAAUGUUCGUCAUACCUAUUUCAGCUACGCACUUUCAUUUCAUCAGAUGAAAGUAUUUUUUUUUGGUUGUUCAGAAAGCACAAAUAUUUUUAUUAUGAGGUGUAUUUUAAAUAAAAAUUUGAGAAUAUUUUUAAAAAAUUAUCAUUUUUAUGGUGAUGAACAUUUUUUUGAAAUAUUAUAUUUCAUUUGUAAUUUUUUGAACUGUUUUUUGUGCUUAUACAUCCCACAAGCAGUUAAGCAGGCAACAAUCCGAAGGCCAAAUCGGCAGAGCACUAAGAGCAGCCGUACGAACCGGCCAGUCGUCCAAUUCUCAAUUCUUUAA
RNAcentral lists this ribosomal RNA (360 nucleotides) under Triticum aestivum (bread wheat). RNAcentral describes it as "partial small subunit ribosomal RNA". Lineage: Eukaryota; Viridiplantae; Streptophyta; Magnoliopsida; Poales; Poaceae. The record is from RNAcentral.